GAUGAACGCUGGCGGCGUGCCUAAUACAUGCAAGUCGAACGGGGAGUAGCAAUACUCUUAGUGGCGAGCGGGUGAGUAACGCGUUGGUACCUGCCCCGAAGCGGGGGAUAACGGACCGAAAGGUCCGCUAAUACCCCAUGUGCUCGGUAACGAGUAAAGGUGAAAACCACUUUGGGAGGGGCAUGCGUCCCAUCAGCUAGUUGGUAAGGUAACGGCUUACCAAGGCGAUGACGGGUAGGGGACCUGAGAGGGUGGCCCCCCACAAUGGAACUGAAACACGGUCCAUACACCUACGGGUGGCAGCAGUAGGGAAUAUUGGUAAUGGGCGCAAGCCUGAACCAGCAACGCCGCGUGUGCGAUGACGGCCUUCGGGUUGGAAAGCACUUUUGACUGGGACGAGGAAGGACGGUACCGGUCGAAUCAGCCUCGGCUAACUACGUG
This 441-nucleotide ribosomal RNA is filed under the name uncultured bacterium. Its description in RNAcentral is "partial 16S ribosomal RNA". It matches the Rfam family "Bacterial small subunit ribosomal RNA", at positions 28 to 507 of the family's 1533-position model. The record is from RNAcentral.